This 254-nucleotide ribosomal RNA is filed under the name uncultured bacterium. Its description in RNAcentral is "partial 16S ribosomal RNA". It matches the Rfam family "Bacterial small subunit ribosomal RNA", at positions 524 to 776 of the family's 1533-position model. The record is from RNAcentral.
UGCGUAGGGUGCAAGCGUUAUCCGGAAUUAUUGGGCGUAAAGAGCUCGUAGGCGGUGUGUCACGUCGGCCGUGAAAACCUGCAGCUUAACUGUGGGCGUGCGGUCGAUACGGGCAUCACUGGAGUUCGGCAGGGGAGACUGGAAUUCCUGGUGUAGCGGUGAAAUGCGCAGAUAUCAGGAGGAACACCAAUGGCGAAGGCAGAUCUCUGGGCCGUAACUGACGCUGAGGAGCGAAAGCAUGGGGAGCGAACAGG